This 199-nucleotide long non-coding RNA is filed under the name Nicotiana benthamiana. RNAcentral's name for it is "long non-coding RNA (NBEN_LNC040316)". Lineage: Eukaryota; Viridiplantae; Streptophyta; Magnoliopsida; Solanales; Solanaceae. The record is from RNAcentral.
AUUCUCAUCCUCUCUUUCCAGUAUGUAUAAUUUGUACCAUCGAAUAGCGGUGGUCGGGUAGAGCAUUGUCCUUCACCUAUUCCUGCAAAAGAAUCACGAGUAGAAGCCACGGAUGUUUCUCUCAAACGGUUAAGUCUUCAGAGAGUUGGGCUCUGAUACCAAUUGUUAGAUAAUACGCUUAACGCUAGAGGGGGGGGGG